RNAcentral lists this non-coding RNA (24 nucleotides) under Arabidopsis thaliana (thale cress). Lineage: Eukaryota; Viridiplantae; Streptophyta; Magnoliopsida; Brassicales; Brassicaceae. The record is from RNAcentral.
GACUCUGAAGCUUGCCAUCGAGUA